RNAcentral lists this ribosomal RNA (468 nucleotides) under uncultured bacterium. RNAcentral describes it as "partial 16S ribosomal RNA". It matches the Rfam family "Bacterial small subunit ribosomal RNA", at positions 28 to 507 of the family's 1533-position model. The record is from RNAcentral.
GACGAACGCUGGCGGCGUGCUUAACACAUGCAAGUCGAACGGAAAGGCCCUGCUUUUGUGGGGUGCUCGAGUGGCGAACGGGUGAGUAACACGUGAGUAACUUGCCCUUGACUUUGGGAUAACUUCAGGAAACUGGGGCUAAUACCGGAUAGGAGCUCCUGCUGCAUGGUGGGGGUUGGAAAGUUUCGGCGGUUGGGGAUGGACUCGCGGCUUAUCAGCUUGUUGGUGGGGUAGUGGCUUACCAAGGCUUUGACGGGUAGCCGGCCUGAGAGGGUGACCGGCCACAUUGGGACUGAGAUACGGCCCAGACUCCUACGGGAGGCAGCAGUGGGGAAUAUUGCACAAUGGGCGGAAGCCUGAUGCAGCAACGCCGCGUGCGGGAUGACGGCCUUCGGGCUGUAAACCGCUUUCGCCUGUGACGAAGCGUGAGUGACGGUAAUGGGUAAAGAAGCACCGGCUAACUACGUG